Molecule: ribosomal RNA, 446 nt
Filed under: uncultured bacterium
Lineage: Bacteria
Description: bacterial SSU rRNA
Rfam family: Bacterial small subunit ribosomal RNA
Source: RNAcentral
ACUCCUACGGGAGGCAGCAGUGGGGAAUAUUGGACAAUGGGCGCAAGCCUGAUCCAGCCAUGCCGCGUGAGUGAUGAAGGCCCGUAGGGUUGUAAAGCUCUUUCAGCGAGGAGGAUAAUGACGUUACUCGCAGAAGAACGCCCCGGCUAACUUCGUGCCAGCAGCCGCGGUAAUACGAAGGGGCUAGCGUUGUUCGGAAUCACGUGGGCGUAAAGCGCACGUAGGCGGACUUUUAAGUCAGGGUGAAAUCCCGGGCUCAACCCCGGAACUGCCUUGAUACUGGAAGUCUUGAGUCCGAGAGAGGUGAGUGGAACUCCGAGUGUAGAGUGAAAUUCGUAGAUAUUCGGAAGAACACCAGUGGCGAAGGCGGCUCACUGGCUCGGUACUGACGCUGAGGUGCGAAAGCGUGGGAGCAAACAGGAUUAGAUACCCGUGGUAGGACAGUG